This is a long non-coding RNA of Sander lucioperca (pikeperch), 127 nucleotides long. RefSeq lists it as uncharacterized. NCBI's taxonomy places the organism in Eukaryota, Metazoa, Chordata, Actinopteri, Perciformes, Percidae. The record is from RefSeq and is a predicted model, not a curated record. The transcript is spliced from 2 exons.
GAAGGAAAAGAUCCUGGGAACGAAGAUUGUAAGAGACCUAAAAUAGCCUUGUAUAUGAAGAUAUGCCAGUGUUGAAGUCUCCGUGUUGAUAAAGAAGGCCAUCCAACACGUUCAUACAGUUCACAAU